Erpetoichthys calabaricus (reedfish) is the source of this 731-nucleotide long non-coding RNA. RefSeq lists it as uncharacterized. The record is from RefSeq and is a predicted model, not a curated record. The transcript has 2 exons. NCBI's taxonomy places the organism in Eukaryota, Metazoa, Chordata, Cladistia, Polypteriformes, Polypteridae.
UACCCGAUCUGCGGUGCCUACUCAAUUUGUGUGCGCAUGCACACGCAUGCGCAGAGCUUUACUAUUACAACCCUGUCCAAUCUGCGUUUUUUUUACUUUGCGACACGAGUCCCCAUCCGAUUUGUCUCAUGCACGCGCUCUCUGCUUAAUUAAAAUUCAUUUCACGACGCUGCCCGAUUUGUUCUGCGCAUGUUGAAUGUUUUACGACACACGUCACUCAUCGGGUUUGACUUGUACUUGCGAGUCAUUUUUGUGUUGUCGUUUUAACUCCGUCUGUAAGUGGACUUGUUAUUGGAAAAGAUGGCAACUUUUGAAUUUUAUAACGUCAUGGAAGAAGUGUCGCCUGAAAAAUUUAACUCCAGUCGAAUGAAGAGGGAGCGAAAUGAAAUGCGGACGUGUGUCUGUGAACUUUAUAAUGGAUAUGUACAGCUUUUUGAUGCCCGGUGGUAACCAACCUUCCAUGUGGCUGAACAGAUGCCAGUGUACCUAAAUUCUGAGACACAAUUCGAUGUUCUUUUCUUCUGCUUUUAAAAUUUCCAAUUCGAGAUGAUGUGCAGUUCAUAUUAGAUUUGUUAUUUCUACAGGUAAGACUACUGAGGCUUCCAGUUUCAGAAGUAAUUUGUGCACAAUUCCUGCAAAGCCUCCCCAUAUUUAUUAUUUGAUCUGUAAUAUUUUGCUGCCUUGAAUACUGUACUGUAUAUCUGCUCACUCUGUCCAGUAACUAACACAGC